GUGGAUCACGGAUCUGAAAAAUGAAGAAACAAUUCAAUCGGAUGAAACAGCUCGCCAACCAGACAGUUGGCAGAGCUGAGAAAACAGAAGUCCUCGGGGAAGAUCUGUUGCAGAUCGAGCGACGGAUGGAGAUGGUGCGCGCCGUUUCCCACAACGCCCACAAGCGGCUGGUGACGUGCCUGCAGGGCCACCAGGGCACCGACGCGGAGAAGAGACACAAAAAGCUCCCACUCACAGCGCUGUCUCAGACCAUGCAGGAUGGAGGGAGUCAACUGGGGGAGGAGUCCCUGAUCGGGAAGAUGAUGGAGGUGUGUGGCGAGGCGGAGAACCGGCUGGCCAUGGAGCUCUCUCAGCACGAGAUGCAGAUCGAGAAGGACGUCCUGGACCCCCUCAAUCAGCUGGCGGAGAUGGACAUUCCCAACAUCCUGAAACAGAGGAAGCAGCUGGCCAAGAUGGUACUGGAUUAUGACUCUGCACGAGCCAGGUGGAGUCAGGCGACCAAGUCGAUCAUCUCGGGAACCAACUUCCAGGCCCUGACAGCCAAGGCUGACUCCCUCAAAGAAGAGGUGGACGAAGCCAUGAACAAAGUCGAGCUUUGCAAGGACCAGCUGGCCGCAGACAUGUACAACUUCUCUUCCAAAGAAGGGGACUACGCUCGCUAUUUUGUUGCAUUACUAGAAGCACAAGCUGAUUACCAUAUGAGAUCUUUAGCAGUGUUAGAAAGUUUCCUUCCGACCAUCCAUGCACAGCAAGAUUCGUGGACAGAGAAGCCGGCGUUUGGCACGGCGCUGGACGACCACCUGAAGCGCAGCAACCGGGAGAUCGCCCUGCCCAUCGAGGCGUGUGUCAUGAUGCUGCUGGAGACUGGCAUGAAGGAGGAGGGGCUGUUCCGGAUUGCAGCCGGGGCCUCCAAGCUGAAAAAACUGAAAGCGGCGCUGGACUGUUCCACCUCCCAGCUGGAGGAGUUCUACUCUGACCCCCACGCCGUCGCUGGUGCCCUGAAGUCCUACCUGCGAGAGCUGCCCGAGCCCCUCAUGACUUUCCAGCUGUACGAUGAAUGGAUACAAGCUUCCAACGUGCCAGACCCGGAUAAGAAACUCCAGGCUCUGUGGGUGACGUGUGACAAGAUGCCAAAGAGUAACAAAGCCAACUUCAGGUACCUGGUGAAGUUCCUGGCCAAGCUGGCCCAGGACAGCGAGGUCAAUAAGAUGACCCCCAGCAACAUCGCCAUUGUCCUGGGACCCAACUUGCUAUGGGCCAAGACUGAGGGGAGCCUGGCUGAGAUGGCAGCUGCUACCUCGGUCCAUGUGGUAACGAUCAUUGAACAGAUUAUCAUGCACGCCGACUGGUUCUUCCCUGAAGAGCUGGAUUUCAAUGUCUCUGGGAUGUUCGCCUUGCCCACGCCCCCUGCCAACAGCACCAACCACCUGCCGGCGUCGGACUUUGACCCUGGCACGCUGGAGAGGAAGAGACCGCUCAGCGUGGCGGUGACGGAGGCCGACCCGACCCGCAAAGACAGCCCUGCUAACAAACUAUUGGACCACACUCCGCGUAGAAGCGGCACUCUUAAUAGGAAACAGCACUCCUCGCCCGCCUUCCAGCCCCCCCUGCCUCCGGUCGAGGCUGGGGGGGGGGCCCUGGCGCAGCCCGUUGCCGAGCAACAGGCUCAGCCAAUGGGUGUGGGCAGUGAGGCCGGCCCCUCAGGCUCGGCACAGGGUGUGGCGUCAGGGGCCACAUUCCAGCAACCCCCUGCCCAGCACUGUGAGGACAGCAGCUCCCCGAAGGCGAGAGAACCGGCCUCGACGCCCCCCCCGCUGAGGAACGGGGCCGCAGGGGGGGCGACGCUGACCCCCAGCCCCGGCGGUGGAGCGGGACAGCUGACCGUAGGGCCCUCCCAGGCGGGAUCGCUGGGGCCCAGCCCUCACAUGGUGCGCAGAGCUACAAAGAAGCCGGCGCCGGCCCCGCCUAAGCCCGCCAACCCCCCUCCGGGACCAGCCGCCACCCCGGCUCCCAAACCCGUCUCCGGCCACCCCCCCUCCAGCCAGAGCUCCCCCGCCCAGCCCGCCGCCCAGCCGCGCAGGCACUCGAGCAACCAGCUGCCCAUCCAGGCCCCCAGCCACCCGCCCCCUCAGCCUCCCACCCAGGCCACGCCGCCCCCGCACCCGAAGGCUCUCGGGCAGACGCCGGGGGGCGCCGGCGAGGCGGGGACGGAGAACUCCCCCCCCAGGACCCCUACCCCCCCCGGCACCCCUCCGCCCCUCGCGGCCGCCCACGACACCCACCAGCCCCCCUCUCCCUUUCAGUCGGGGUCUCUUCCCAGGCCCCGGCCUGUCCCCAAACCCCGCCACAGACCCAGUAUCCCCCCGCCGCCCCAGCCGCCCACUCCCGGCGCCAGCGACAACAACGCCAACGGCAUCUGCAACUCUGCUUCCAAAAUCAUCACCGGUAAGCCAGCUGCGUCUCUCUCUACGUGCGGUCGGGGUUGGUACGUGGAGAGAGCUUGAUCCAGUAUCCAUGCAGUGAGCAGAGGCUUGAAAUGCACAUUUCAAGGAUUAACCAUUGCGUAAACCUUAACUAAUCGAUAAUCAGAUCAGUUAUGCAAGAACAAUGGUGUCUUCUAGGAAAUGCAGUACAUGCACUUUGUUCCGUCUGCGUACAAAUGGUAUCGGUGUUAAAAUAGCAUCUGCUUGUCCUGUAGCUGCCUGAAAGCGAAAGUAUUUCUUUCCCCUUCGUUAUGACCCGCAAUUGUCGUAUGAAUCUGGUGCAGUUCAGGCGGGGCUGGACCUAGCCGGUCAGGACUUGCUUGAGGAAAAGCGCUAAAAGACUGUGCACACCUUCAGGAACAGCCGCAGGCUGGCCGUCUGUGGGACGGGGUCUUGUCCGACAUGGAGAACUCCUGCUCUGAGCUCGAGCAUGUAAACGUGCCCCCCCCCUGCUUCCUGUGAUCCAGGGAAAGAGGUCUUUGCUUCAAAAAAGGGGUUGGCAUUGCCAUACAAAGUACCUGGUGCCCAUUUCCGCGAUUCUUGGCUUUGCAUAGGAUUUUCGAUGCACAGAUAUUCUGAAUGCAUAGGAUAGCCAGUCGCUGCAUGCAUAAUAUAACAUCAUAACGUCCUGUAGUGUCUGUAGGAAACCGGAGUGUUUUAGAAUAGUGUAUGUGCCGUGCUGUCAUUACAGUGCCAGUCACUCACACCACGGGGAGGAAAAAAGUUUGAUGUCACGGAUCAGUUGGGUUCCAUGGCAACAAAAAGCAGAGAAACCACUUUUUGUAACUCUUAAGCCUGAAAUGUGAAGCUGCCAAAACCGCAUCUUGUCCCCAAACUUGCUUGUUAGCUUUUUUUGUUUCAGUCUAGAACCAUCUUGGUGAGCACAGUGUACAGAUGCUUCAGAAGUGUGGUUCACUGACCCCUUCUAAGAAAUGUGUGUUAAAGACCGUAUUGGGUGAGCUGGCUAAACAGCCAAGCAGAAUAGAAAUGCAGCUCUCCUAAACUGACUUUCUUAACAGGACGCAGUACAGCACAGUGCCACAUUGGAGGGAAAAAAUGGGUUAAACCUGUGAUCAAUAAUCCACAGGUGGCAGAAUACAUUUUUUUAGUCUCUCCAUCAGUAAUCCUGUUCAGCCACCUCUCUUUCUCUAUCAGUCAAUAACAUUGUGCAGGUCAGCGCUGACUUGGGAUUAUCUUAAUACACCUCUAAUUGUCAUUAAUUGUGCACUAACGGCCUUGUCGCAAUACUUCCACAGGUUGAUGAUCUUUCCAGCAGGAAGGUUUGUAAUGAGACACUUGCAUUUGCAGUUUCCAGUGCCCCUGCUCUCAGCUCUGUACUCCAUGUGUUAUGUUACAGCAGCCUCUGCUGUUCUGUACAUGCUUGAGGCAUUUUGCUUGCAGUUGAACUGUUGUGUUUACAUUGUCCACCAGGUACUUAACCUCCGUUUUUCAUUUUAUCACCAAAAACGCCCAUCUCGUUUAUAACCCAUCUACUUUUUGAUUGCUUGAGAGCCAUGUUCAUACCAUUAACCCCCAUGGAAAAGCGGACAUGAGAUGUGGAUACAUUUUUUCUCAAGAGUUAAAUGCAAAGAAUCAAGCACAACUCAGGAAAAGAUGUGGAGCAGUAAAAGCAAAACAUGGCAGUAGAGGAAAAUGCCACUGUUUUCCCUUUACCAUUUAAUGCACAAUCACGUUCAGCUUCCUUAGCAAUGCUUGCGCGAUGCCAAGAUCAACAGUGUACUGGCUGUUUACUCCUUUUUUGAGUGGAUGUGCAUAAUUCAAUCUCUCAUCACAAGGGUAUUUUAUUAAAUGGUCUGCACCAAGCAGCCUAGGACUUCUGUGACUCAUUUAUGGUAGGGAAAACCCACAGCAGCACUUGCAUAACUCCCUGCUCCCCAUGUCCCUGUUAAAUUGUGUAUUGUGGCUUUAGGUUUGCAAGACCUAGUAGUGUGCUAUGUUUUCUGCCAACUCUGGUGUGCAUGUUGUUGAUAGGCCUUUGCAAUAGCAAUGCAUGCUGCAAAACCUAUUGCAUCAGAAAAUGUGUUUUACUGUAAGAAAUGAGAAUGAAACAAUGCCCACGUGACCCUCUUGACUUCUGGCAUGCAUCGCAGCUCUAAUCCACUGCACUUUGACAUUGUGACUCCUGGCUUUCAUUGAAGAUCAAUGUAAAAGGUGCAAUGUCCCUUAAUUUGCCUGGAGGAUUUUAAAAGGUUUAUUGUGCAAUCAAUAUCAAGGUCAAUUUUUGCUUCAUGGUAUUUUUUUAGGCCCUGCAUGUUGUAAUUUGGGUUAAGGUUUGAAAUAAAAUGACCUAUUCUGUCUACAGAACUAAACAAGACAUUUCCUUUAUAACUGGUGAAAGACUACAAAUUACCAUAGAACACUCAAUUAUUUUAAGUUCCUCUUCUGGAGGGGGAAUUCAGUUCUUUCCCCUCUUCAUCUGACUGAAGUAGUUGAAGAGAUGAAUGCAUGUGCUUUCAAAUAUGUAUAGUGGGCAACUGAACACGAAGGCCAGUGUGCAAAAGUCACAUUUUAAUACUGUUCUUUAUUGUUGCUCUUGUUAUUUACAAUUACUGCUUUGGAAACCUUUGUUUCCAGAUGACAUAAGGAACGUAGGGAUGUCGUUGAUGUGAAUGCAUUCAUAUUUAGAGGUGAAUAAAUAUUAAAUAUUGCAGAUGUCUGACCUGCCAUUCUAAGAGAUGAUGUUGGGAGGCAGGCUAUGGUAAGCACACAAGGCACCUGAUUGGCCAAAAAAGUAGCCAUCCCUGAAUUGCGCACACUGCUUCUCUGCCUGUUAACCCCAGUGCGUGCUAACCCUGCUUGCCCGCCCUUACUAACGUCAAUCAUCUCUGGCUGUGCGAAAAGCCCUGUUUGCACAGACACUUGUCUGUGCAAACUAACUGCUGUUUGUCUCAGGUUCCUGGAAUGUCCCCUGCAUACACACUGUGGAUUCCAGUAUUGCUGUGAAGGGGCUGACCCGUGCCCUGGUUCCUGAGCUCCCUGUGGAGCCGCCCGUGUCUCCCGC
Lepisosteus oculatus (spotted gar) is the source of this 5505-nucleotide non-coding RNA. The record is from RefSeq and is a predicted model, not a curated record. Lineage: Eukaryota; Metazoa; Chordata; Actinopteri; Semionotiformes; Lepisosteidae.